This 324-nucleotide unclassified non-coding RNA is filed under the name soil metagenome. RNAcentral's name for it is "partial contains 5.8S ribosomal RNA, internal transcribed spacer 2, and large subunit ribosomal RNA". The stretch from base 1 to 120 matches the Rfam family "5.8S ribosomal RNA", at positions 35 to 154 of the family's 154-position model. The record is from RNAcentral.
GAUGAAGAACGUAGCGAAAUGCGAUAAGUAAUGCGAAUUGCAGAAUUCAGUGAGACAUCGAAUCUUUGAACGCACAUUGCGCCCUGUGGUAUUCCGCAGGGCAUGCCUGUUCGAGCGUCAUUUCAACCCUCAAGCCUCGCUUGGUGUUGGGCCCUGCCCGCCGCGGCCGGCCCUAAAGAUAGUGGCGGCGCCGCCUGGCCCUCAGCGUAGUACAGCUCUCGCUCCAGGGUCCGGCGGCAGCCUGCCAGAACCCCCCAACUCUGUGGUUGACCUCGGAUCAGGUAGGGAUACCCGCUGAACUUAAGCAUAUCAAUAAGCGGAGGA